Molecule: long non-coding RNA, 5135 nt
Organism: Danaus plexippus (monarch butterfly)
Lineage: Eukaryota; Metazoa; Arthropoda; Insecta; Lepidoptera; Nymphalidae
Exons: 8
Source: RefSeq, a predicted model, not a curated record
CUGACAUAUAUAACUAUUCCCAAGUAAAUUAUUUCUCAAUAAAUGGAUGCACAGUUUGUUGUUAAGUAACACUAAUAGCAAGUUCUCAUUUCAUUGUCUUGCCCUGUGUUUUAUUUGGAAUACACAUUAUGAUGAUGUUUGUAACCGCCCCAGGCUGACUUAUUGAUGGUACAAGAUUGUGAGAGAAUUCAAAUGAUCCUGGUCAUCUUCCAUUAAAAUAUUUCAAACUGAAGAAUCAAAUGAUGGCAAAGUCUUUCAAAUCGAGUAUCCUUUUAUUAAACUGGAAUUCAAACCCAAAAGUUGGAUAAAGAUUCUUGCAGAAAUGAUUUCGCAACCCUUCCGUGUUUGCAUUAUGUACCAGGUGAAAAAGAUGUCGUAUAUAUGAGGACGCUCUUCCGAGCUUGAAAAUUGAAAAAGAUAUGAAAAGCAACUUAUGAGCAGCAAUGAAGAUAUUUAUGGAAUAAUUGAAGACUACCUUACAAACCCAUUCUGCUGAAGCUGAGUUUCUCACUCCUUUAAAUUAAAAUCAAAAUAUAUUCCUGUGGAAAAAUACGAGUUGCGGCUGAUAAGUUUGCUACCUAAGGUACUUAAUGAAAAGGUAUCAUGUCGUUACUGAUAGCACAACUUGCGGCACUAAUUGAUAGAAUUAAUAGCAAACGUUUCUUCAAUUUGGUUCAUUAAUAUUUCAAACCUGGAACAAGCAACAAUGCCGUAGCGACCGAAACUGAAAAUUCUUGCAAUAUUGAGCACUGCACAUAAAUUACAUUUCUUGUAACAAAAACGGAAAUUCGACUAAAGAUCAUCAUUUCUUCAGGAUCCCGGGCCAUCAUAUACAAAAAUAAAAAAAUGGGCAAGACUUCUUCAACAAGAAAGAGAGCUGUCAAAACGAUCCAUGUCGGACCACCAUGUGCCGGUAGUGAUUGAAGAAAAUGUUUAAAAAGUAGAAAAAAAUGUUUUUUCCGACCGAAGAUUAAAAUUAAUAGAUAGCUGAAGAGUUACAGAUUAGUAAAGAACGAAUAUGAGAAAUUUUACAGCAAAAUUUACACGUGGAAGAAAAAGAAGAAAUUAUAUAAAAUGUAAUUGAAAUAGAGAUCAAUACCUACAUAACAUAGUUUCAUAAACCAUUGCUCAUGGAAUAAUCAAACAAUUUUUAAUGAUUUAAAAUCCUUUCUUUAACCCAUUAAUUCCCAAGGGUAAAAAUAAAGACAUUCAUUGGUUUAAUUGUUUAUGACGUUUAUAAAUACAUCUAAAAAGAGCAAAUUAUAGAAAAAAAAUAUUGAUAAAUUAUUUUACAUUCCGCAACAUGUUACGUCUAAUGAACGUUGGGAUUACUGAACUUAAAUUAGACAGGCAAGUACAUAUAACAAUGCAAUAUUAUUAGCGUGAGUGAAAUAUUUUGAAACAAUCAGCAUGAAGAUGUACUUGACAUUUUUUACACAUAUAAAUUGUUGUACUUCUACACUGUCGACAUUUUCUUUGACGUUUAUUUUCGUGCUCUUCUAUGACAUUACCAAUAUUAUUGAAGCCAAAUAUUGUAAGAACGCGUUUUUAGAUGGUCUUCUUAGAUAUUUGAAUUACCCAAAAAAUUUGAAUUAUGUAUCUGCAAGUUGGGCUUCUUCGGCUUUCAUCAAACUAAAAGCAAUGUAAGAUUUGAAUUCCAAAUGAUUCAAAGAUCGCUCAUUAGCUAUAUUGUAAAUUUUCCACGAGUUAACCAAUACACUGUCUAUCAAAUUGAUGAGCAGUGGCAACCACCACCUCUUCCCUCUUAUUCGAAUCCUAUAAUUGGCUAUUCCGUUUUCAUGGAGAUCUACACCUCCCAUAUUUUUAUUAUAAUCAGCUAUAACCUGGGGCGGUGCUGUGCUGCACAUUCACCAUCUUUUAUUAUUUUUCUAUCAUACCGUUUUGCUGUAACCAAUGGUUCGAUCUUUGCGUUGUUAGUAGCCACAGUCACCACAGAAUUGUCAUUCCAUCGAACCAACAGUACUUCAUGUUUUUGGUCGAAGCUAUAAUUAAAUGAUCCUCUCUUUUUUCUGAAGUUUUAUCGUAGUUAUCAAGGUUUCAUUCAUUGUUCUUUGUUUUUUCUAAUAGUACCAGUGGCAAAAAAACCUCUGUUUAUCAUUCAAAACAAUUUAUGUGAAGAAAAGAAAUUAUUAAAAAAAUGCGAUGUUUGCUUGGGUCUUCAAUAACGGACAAUAGAUCCGGUACAGUAUUUUCUCCAAGACCUAAGUCAUUUCUAGCAACGUCACUAUUCUUUCCGCCAUAUGGAAUAAACUGGUACAGAAAACCAUUCGAACUACACCAGCAUCAUAACUUGAAUUCAAAUCUUACAGGCUUUCCUUUGAUGAACAUCUUGCAACCAUGACGUCCAAAAUAUGGUAAAAUUUUUUCGUCAAUUGACAAGUCGUGUCAAAAUAUUCUAAACUGCAAUUUUCUUUUCUGGUUUAUUAUAUUGAAAAUAGGACGUAAUUUAGUGAAUUUAUCAUUUUAAUCCAGGUCAGCAUUAUCACACAAAUGAAUGUUUUUCUUUAUAGAGUCUAAUUUGUUACGACUCGUGCAACUUCUUACAAUCGAUUUAUUUUUGUCUUCAUCUUUUGACCAGUACAAUUUCGCAGCAGGGAAUCAAUGAUAUCCAGUCAGUAAUAAUGUGCAAAAAGUCUUGAGUUCUGCUACGGUGAGGGUAAAUAAAUGAGGGUUAUGGUCGCAAGCAUAAUUAUUUGAAAAUCUUACAAUCUGUUCCCAAACUUCAUCAAUAAAAAAUAGGGAAAAUACUUCCAUAGGUGUUUUUCCACCUACAAGUUCUUCAAUAUUUUGUGUCAUUGCUGUUUCGUCACUUGUAGGAAAUGUGUAAGUAUUAGAGAUGUUACGAAUGUCAUAUUUUCUACAGUCGCGAAUGCGAAUGGUAGGAGUGCGAAUGUUGCGAUUGCGAAGGUUUAGAAAUCAAAUUAAAUAAGGUUGAAAAAAAAUAAUUAUUAUUAUUUAUCAUUUUUAUUACAUACCCUAAUAGAAAGAACAAUCAGUCAGUACUCGAAUUUCAAUAGUGGAAUAUUUUAUUUUAAAAAUAGCAGUUUUGCUGCCUUUUCGCUCGUGAGGCGAUUUCUAAGCGUCUCGUAUAUUAGGCCAGUAGCACUGAAUAGCUGUUCACUUGGUACGUUUGCUGGUGGAGCGCUCGGAUACUUGCGAGCAACAACUUUUACCGAGUCUUAAUUUCACAUAUCAAUGUAUCAUCUACACUUUCUACGUCAGGAUCUUCACUUUCAUUUGAGGAUUCUAGUUUAAUUUGUGCUUGUAUCGUGCAGAAAAGUCAAGAUUGUGAAUAAAUUAUCAUUCUCCAGGUUGCUAAAUUUCUUGUUAAUUUCGCUUUUGAUAGCUUGAAUAAAAUUCCUUACAAUAUUACCAACGGCAUCGCCCUCGGCUGGUAUCUUUGUUUCUUCAAGGCUUAUUUUCAGUGUGUAAAUGAUUGGAAUCACAGAUGAGAUUAAAGAAUCUGAGCUGCUCAAACUGCAAGUAGCCUCUUCAAACGGCUUAAGAACUGUUACGCAUUGCUCCAUGGCUUUCCAUUCUUCAGACGAAGGUGAAAUACUGAAAUUGGUAUUGUCAUUAGCAUACAAGCACAAAGCAUCUUUUAGUUUCAAAAAUCUCUACUAAAUAAAAUGUGCUAUUCCAUCUCGUUGCACAGUCUGCUGUGACAGUUUGUGGAGUACGAUCUGGGUUUAAUCGCUGUUGGCUUGGGCCAAUUGAGUCUGAGCGAUAGUCGAAUGAUUAAAAUGUGAAAAAGUCUUUUUACAUUUUUGAAUCAUGCCCGUCAGGAACACUUGAGAAUUCAACCCGUGCUUAAUACAUACUUGUCUGUAACUUGUGAGCAGUACAAUCGAUAUCAUUAAAUCCGCCCAGUGUCACAGCACGCCUCAUAUUGGAUCCCUCGUCCCUUACCAUGCAGUGUAUUUGUUCCUUAUUUAUACACCAUUCUUUAACCCUUAAUUUGGUAAAGUAUAAAAUGCUAUAAAACCUGAAUUUUGUCAUCAGAAAUGUUAUUUAUACACAUAAAACGACUAUAGAUAAAUUUGAAAAGCUAAGUUGUCCUGAAAACUCAUGUAGGCCACAACAUACACCGCCAACUACUUAAGAAUACAAAUCAUUAAUGUGUUGUAUGCAAGGGCAUACAUUGCCAAUUACUGUAGGUACUGACUACGUAUGUAAAAAAAAACAACUAUUAUAUUUAUUAUUUAUUUUUAUAAAAAAAUACAUAGAAAUUACGUAGGCACAUGGUAAUCUAGUUGACAAUUACAGGAAUUUUAAAUGAAACAAGUGUUAUUCGGAUUUACUACGCGGAUUUUAUUAUUUAAAAACUACAUUAUCCCGACGUGAACACAUUCACACAUGAACACAUUCACACCUCGUCUGCCCGUGAUCAUGGUUGCUGCAAAGUAACCGAAACGUCGGGAUAAUGUAGUUUUUAAAUAAUAAAAUCCGCGUAGUAAAUCCGAAUAACACUUGUUUCAUUUAAAUGAAUACUCGCGAAAAUCUUAGAUCUCAUUACAGGAAUUUUAGUCAGUUACGAAACAAAGGCGGACUUGGCACUUCAUAUAUUGUACGACUGUAAGUUUUAAACACAAUCGGCAUCUUUCUUGUGUGGUCAUUGUCAUAAAAUGACCAACGUUGUCAAAUCGUGACUUUUCAACUGGACUGGCUUGUGGUUCUCCUUUUUUGGUGUCUUUGUUUACUACCCUCAGAACGCUGGUAUUUUUUUAGACCUUCGUGCAAUUCGAAUCUAGAGUCCUUCAAAGCAAUUGACUUUGUCUUGGAAUUUCUUCUGUGAAGGAGCCAUGCGUUAUUGAUACAUACACUGCCGGCCAAAAGUUUGAGACCACCUACAUAAAAGUUGGAAAUUGAUGUAAAACCCAAAAUAAAAAGCUGAACAUGAAAGGAUUUGUUGAAAUAUUUAUUAGGUAUGGCAAAUGCGAUGAAAUAUAAACAAAAAAUAUUAAACACUUCGACAAUUUAACUUAAAAUAUAUGUUGACAAGCUAAACAGAUUUUUCAUCAAAAAACCCUCCCUUGCAUUGAAUCACUUUGUUGACAAGUCUUGGCAUGCGGGCAAUCAAUUUGUCGAUUGUUUCUUGUGAAAUAUUGUUCCAG